Molecule: long non-coding RNA, 447 nt
Filed under: Homo sapiens (human)
Lineage: Eukaryota; Metazoa; Chordata; Mammalia; Primates; Hominidae
Description: HSALNT0407797
Source: RNAcentral
AGUUCACUGGCUCUCCCCUGCCUGUUGUGUUCACUGUCUGCUCUCAGGUGAGGAAACUGGGACACAGAGAGGUUACAUGUGGUGACAGUUUGGUGCCAUGAAGAUUGAUUGAAAGAUCUAGGGCUGUCUAGCCUGAAGAAGAUUCAAGGGAAUGUGGGCCUCUUGUCUUCAGACUUCUCUCAGAGUCCAAGAGAACAGGUGUAUUUGUACAUGGCCACUGAGGGCAGAGCUGGAACCCAAGAGUGGAAGCAUAUCUGGACUUAAUGAAAGGAAAAAAUCUGCCUUAGGAGUCAGAGUUGUCUGUGGGUAAAACAGGUUGCCUGGAGAGGAAGGGAGAUGUCUAAGCAGAGGCUGGAUGAUCACUCAAGAAGGGAGGAGGUGAAGAAGAUGUUCCUAAAGGUUUCUUGUAGUUCUGAGGGGCUAGACAUCUCUAUUUUCUGGCUGCAC